Long non-coding RNA from Coregonus clupeaformis (lake whitefish), 425 nucleotides. RefSeq lists it as uncharacterized. Lineage: Eukaryota; Metazoa; Chordata; Actinopteri; Salmoniformes; Salmonidae. The record is from RefSeq and is a predicted model, not a curated record. The transcript has 3 exons.
AUGGACGCUGUCACAGGACAUAGAACCCAUGCCACCACAUGCCUCGUCCAAAGGAUUUACACACGCACAAACGCAACAUAACGCGGCACUCCACCAUGGAUCACCGAACCAAACCACCGCUAACACCACCGCCACCAGAAAACAGCAGAGUGCUCCGAACAAUCAGCACAACGCAAAUGGCUGAUAAUGAUAGCCUAAUGCUAUACAGCAUCUGGGUCGCUGAGCUACCGCACCCAGCGAGCUACAAGCUACUCUCAGCCAACUAACACCGACACAGUGAGGAUAGAGAGCCGUGAAACCCUGUCUGCAGAGGAAGAGGUCCCAGUGAAUGUCCCAACAGAAUAAGGCUGAUAAUGGAAUGGGAAUGCCAACGCCAAUGCCUACGCCAAUGCCAAUGCCAAUGCCAACGCCAAUGCCAAUGCCAA